CAUUUCACAUUUCAUUCACUUCAUUCUUCUUUCUCUCACUCUUUUUGUUCCAAUAUGCAUAUGCAGUUUUUUUUUACUUUCCAUAUUAUUCUUUUUGUCUGACCAGUUGAACUUUUUCUUGCAGGAAACAAACUAGAAAACAAGCAAAGUUAAUCAAAUUUAAGGAAGCAAAAAGAAAAACUUUAUUUGUAUAAACUUCUUUUCCAUGAUUCUACAACAGUGGUGCGUACAAGAGGAGCAGACGGUAGAAUUAGGCAUAACAGAGGACGUGGAGAGUCUCGGCCACAUCAGGAGGAGCCGGAACACGAUGAGAUGCCGCCAGUGCAUGAGGAGCAGGUUGAGGAGCAGGCUGAGCAGCAGCCUGUGCAGCAGGCUUGGCCUGGAGGGCCGAUCGAUACGAGUCUUUUGACUCGAUACGAGCAUCAUGUUGCUCGUCAUGUAUGGUUUGGUCAGGAACGUGUCGAAGGUGACAAAAUUGAGCUACGAAUAGUAUCUUUAGGAAGAAAGUUAGCUGACAGGAUUCCUGAUUACCAUCCUGAAGUUAUUCAAGGGUAGUUGAAUAUUUCGGGGUUGUGCUGGCUUGAGCGGACUAGCUUGAAAUUUACCGAUCCGCAGCUUAUAUCCGCAUUUGUUGAGAGGUGGCACCCUGAGACAUCGUCAUUUCACAUGUCGUUCGGCGAGAUGACUAUUACUUUGGACGAUGUGGCAUGUCUUCUGCAUCUACCUGUUAGGGGUCAGUUUUAUACUCCUGUAUCAGUUUCUCAAGAACAAGCUGCGGAACUUGCAGUUGAGUUGUUAGGAGAGGAGUAUGACUUUGCAUUGCGAGAGACUGUAUUGCAGAGGGGUGGUUAUUUUUCACAGCAGUGGCUAUAUGAGAGUUAUAUGAGGAAUGCCAAUUACUACGGGAAACAUGACUGCGCAGCUAGGGCAUGGAUGUUGAUGUUGGUGGGAUCUACCAUUCUGGCCGAUAAGAGUUAUACACGUGUGGAUGCCAAAUGGCUACUUCUGUUUAGUGAUUUGUCUGCAGUCCAUACAUAUUCGUGGGCCAGUAUUGCAUUAGUUUGUUUAUACGAUAACUUGAACGAUGCAUCCAUGUUUUCUACGAGGGCCCUUGCAGGGUAUGCGACACUUCUUUAGUGUUGGAUUCACGAGUAUUUUCCUACCCUUGGUAGGCGGGCUCAGUUGAAUCUUAAUUGUGAUGAUCCUGGCUUUCCUCGAGCUAUGCGGUGGAUGUAUAAGCAAGGGAAGACCAAGCUCCCCGACUAUCGACCUAUAUUGGAUGCACUGACCCCUGAUGACGUGAUAUGGCGUCCGUUUGAGACUCACAGAGGUAGCAUUCCUUUUGAUCUGAUUACUCUGUAUAGUGGUCAUCUGCGUGGAUCCACGGUAGUUCCUUACUUUCCCGAGAGGUGUAUUAGGUAGUUUGGAUUUGUACAGUAUAUACCACCACCACCACCUCUAGCUCCUGCCUACUCUGAUAUUGAUAGCGACUGGAUUGGUUAUCACGCGUCUGUUGAUCGGAUCCUUCAGCCGACACGUCCAGUGACAUAUGCUUAUGAGACUGUACCUGAUUACAUGUCCUGGUACUAUAGGGUAUCACAUCCUAGACUGUGUCGCCCUGUUGAUGGACCACAUGGAGCACCACCAGUUCCGCACUAUGCACCUGCACCUGCACCUGCACCAGAUGCCCCAGUAGACGAUGCACCAGUAGACGAUGCACCAGCAGAUGAUGCAUCACAAGAAACUGCACUACAGCGUGAGCGGAGAUGGAGAGGUAUGGCUCGAGGCGCGCUUGAGACAUUUCUUACGAGGAUAGACGCUGAUAGGGAUGAUGAGGAUUUUGAGGAGCUUUUUUUUGCACUAGAUGUAUGUCGUGGUGCAUACCCAUGACUAGUUUUUUUUGUUAUGUUUUUUUGAACACUGGUUUAUGUACUUUUAUUUUUGGAUUGUGUAUUUUGUUGAACUAAUUUUACUAUAUCGUGUACUUUAUUUAGAUUAUAAACUUUAUCGAUCAAAUGUUUUUUGUA
Molecule: long non-coding RNA, 2027 nt
Organism: Trifolium pratense (red clover)
Lineage: Eukaryota; Viridiplantae; Streptophyta; Magnoliopsida; Fabales; Fabaceae
Exons: 4
Source: RefSeq, a predicted model, not a curated record